RNAcentral lists this unclassified non-coding RNA (353 nucleotides) under soil metagenome. RNAcentral's name for it is "partial contains 5.8S ribosomal RNA, internal transcribed spacer 2, and large subunit ribosomal RNA". The stretch from base 1 to 120 matches the Rfam family "5.8S ribosomal RNA", at positions 35 to 154 of the family's 154-position model. The record is from RNAcentral.
GAUGAAGAACGUAACGAAAUGCGAUAAGUAAUGUGAAUUGCAGAAUUCAGUGAAUCAUCGAAUCUUUGAACGCACAUUGCGCCCGCCAGUAUUCUAGCGGGCAUGCCUGUUCGAGCGUCAUUACAACCCUCAGGCCCCCGGGCCUGGCGUUGGGGAUCGGCGGAAGCCCCCUGCGGGCACAACGCCGUCCCCCAAAUACAGUGGCGGUCCCGCCGCAGCUUCCAUUGCGUAGUAGCUAACACCUCGCAACUGGAGAGCGGCGCGGCCACGCCGUAAAACACCCAACUUCUGAAUGUUGACCUCGAAUCAGGUAGGAAUACCCGCUGAACUUAAGCAUAUCAAUAAGCGGAGGA